AGUGAACGCUGGCGGUAGGCCUAACACAUGCAAGUCGAACGGCAGCACAGGAGAGCUUGCUCUCUGGGUGGCGAGUGGCUGACGGGUGAGGAAUACAUCGGAAUCUACUCCGUCGUGGGGGAUAACGUAGGGAAACUUACGCUAAUACCGCAUACGACCUACGGGUGAAAGCAGGGGAUCUUCGGACCUUGCGCGAUUGAAUGAGCCGAUGUCGGAUUAGCUAGUUGGCGGGGUAAAGGCCCACCAAGGCGACGAUCCGUAGCUGGUCUGAGAGGAUGAUCAGCCACACUGGAACUGAGACACGGUCCAGACUCCUACGGGAGGCAGCAGUGGGGAAUAUUGGACAAUGGGCGCAAGCCUGAUCCAGCCGUACCACGUGGGUGAAGAAGGCCUUCGGGUUGUAAAGCCCUUUUGUUGGGAAAGAAAUCCAUCUGGUUAAUACCCGGGUGGGAUGACGGUACCCAAAGAAUAAGCACCGGCUAACUUCGUGCCAGCAGCCGCAGUAA
This 506-nucleotide ribosomal RNA is filed under the name uncultured bacterium. RNAcentral's name for it is "partial 16S ribosomal RNA". It matches the Rfam family "Bacterial small subunit ribosomal RNA", at positions 29 to 523 of the family's 1533-position model. The record is from RNAcentral.